ACCGAAGAAAAGAAAGUUAGAAAACAUGGAUGGGAAUAGUGAAUACGAAGAGAGAGAAUACACUUUCUCCAUCUCUCACAAUUGUCUCUCCGAUUAACGACCUCCGUCACUUCCGCCGUCGCCGCAUCUCAAAGUAAAGCCCUCCGCCACUGCAGUCGUCGUACCUCUUCGCAAACCUACCCUUUCUAAAAGCCAACACCAUAUGUUACUGCGACGACCCAAAUCUGCCCUUUCUCGUUCAUGUUUUCUAGAAGACAACAAAGACAUGAAGAUUUUGCUAGUGAUGAUAUUCAUAUUUUGAGCAAGACUUUGGUUGAUGUUACAUGUAAUGCUGCUACAUAUAUGAUAAUAUAUAUCAUAGUGGGGAGGGUUAGUAAGCCAAGCCCAACAUUGUAUUGAAUUGUAUUGUCAUCUGUGUUUUAGAUUUUGGGGCGUCUGGUUUUGUGCUCAUUGUAAGUGCUGCGGUUUUGGUUGGUGUCUGCCAUCAGUAGGGGGCGGUUGGUGCUAUUUGCUCCUGCUGUCAGUUGGUGUUAGCAGCUGCCAGCAGCUUGUGCAUGGGGCUGGUUUUGAUGCAGCUGUAUGCGUAGGGGGCCGGAUGUUCAUUUUUCGGCUGUUUUGGUUCAGUGAAUACCUUUGCAUCAUUCUCUAGUGUUAGGCGGCGGGGUUUUAUUUUGGUAGUCUCUAUAAGGAGUGUUGUUUCGGGGGUUUGUGUCGGGUGUUCCGCCUAUAUACGGCACCCUUGUUUGUAUUGGUUUGUUUCUUUUCGCUUGCGCGGUUGGUUUUUGGGAGGCUUGCACCCUUCCGUCGUCAAUAAAAUUAGCAUACCAAAUGUAAUGUUUGGAUUUUCGUGUAAUGAAUUGGCUUUGUACUGUUAUCAAAUCUACCAUAUUCAUAUUUUUCUUUUCAA
This is a long non-coding RNA of Medicago truncatula (barrel medic), 907 nucleotides long. RefSeq lists it as uncharacterized. The record is from RefSeq and is a predicted model, not a curated record. The transcript has 2 exons. Lineage: Eukaryota; Viridiplantae; Streptophyta; Magnoliopsida; Fabales; Fabaceae.